AAAAAGAUAAACCUGGUUUCCGUGUCCAACGUUUGACCGUCCGUCUUAUUUAAAAAAAUUAUGAAAAAAAUUAAAAAGACAAGUCACGCAUAAAAUAUUAAUAAUGUUUUAUCAUCUAACAACAAGAAAAAUACGAAUUAUAAAAAAAUUUUAUAUAAGACGGACAGUCAAAUUUGGACACGAAAACCCAUGGUUGCCUUUUUU
Molecule: non-coding RNA, 204 nt
Organism: Oryza glumipatula
Lineage: Eukaryota; Viridiplantae; Streptophyta; Magnoliopsida; Poales; Poaceae
Source: Rfam